This 892-nucleotide long non-coding RNA is filed under the name Monodelphis domestica (gray short-tailed opossum). RNAcentral describes it as "lncRNA (ENSMODG00000049360.1)". Lineage: Eukaryota; Metazoa; Chordata; Mammalia; Didelphimorphia; Didelphidae. The record is from RNAcentral.
UUAUUUCCUAAAUCACCCUCAUUUUUCAUGUUAAAAAUGAAUGUUAAGGAUAAUUUGGAUAACUCAGCCAUUUUAGACUCAUUAAUUUCAAAACACUCCCUAUUAAUUAGCAGGCCUAUUUUUGUCUCCAGAUAUCCCCCAAAACAUUUGCAACGAAACAUUUUUCAUUCUUUUCAGACACUUGCCAAGAUAAGUUUGAUUGUACUAUUUUCCCCUGAGUUUUCAAAAAGAUGUCUUAUUUCUUACUAAACUUCUUUGUUAAAGCAGAGAUUUUUAUGUCAUUAUUUCAUAUUCAAAUCAAUCAUUAAAGUUGUCAUUGUAGGAAAAGGAUAGAUACUGAGAUCUGAGCUCUUCUAACUCCCUGUCUUGAUCAUUUGGCUAAUGCUCAUCCAAAAGAAAGAUUAUUUAUGUUUUAGAGACAAACAUUUAAAUGAACCAAUUAUGAGCAAUAUCUAAAUCUAAAGUUUAGCUAAGGACGCAUACAUGCACACAUACUCACAUAUAAAUACAUGUUUAUACUCUUUGAAUGGUGACAUAAAAACUGAAAAUUGAAGAGGAUUCCAUCAUUAGGUGAAUGAUUUGACAAUUUGAUAUAUUAAUGUGGUAGAAUAACAGUGUGCUUUUAGAAAUGAUAGAGAUGGUUUCAGAGAAAUUUAGGAAGACUUGUUUGAAUCUGAUGAAAAAUAAAGUGAGCAGUUAUAGAAAAACAAUUCAUAAAAUAACUAAGUUCAUAACCAGCUCUAACAUGUUAAUACAGAAUUAUAAUUACUUUUCUUUCUUCAUCACCAGGGGCAGCUGGAUGGAGUGUAGGCUUCAAAUCGGGGAGACAACUUCAAAUCCAUCCUCAGAUUUCUCUGAAUUGUUUUCCAUAAAGAAAAUAAUUACUCAUUGA